GGGCGAAUAGCUCAGCUGGGAGAGCACCUGCCUUACAAGCAGGGGGUCACAGGUUCAAGGCCUGUUUCGCCCACCA
Molecule: transfer RNA, 76 nt
Filed under: Bacillota bacterium
Lineage: Bacteria; Bacillati; Bacillota
Description: Firmicutes bacterium (anaerobic digester metagenome) tRNA-Val
Rfam family: tRNA
About the family: Transfer RNA (tRNA) molecules are approximately 80 nucleotides in length.
Source: RNAcentral